This 425-nucleotide ribosomal RNA is filed under the name uncultured bacterium. RNAcentral's name for it is "partial 16S ribosomal RNA". It matches the Rfam family "Bacterial small subunit ribosomal RNA", at positions 354 to 796 of the family's 1533-position model. The record is from RNAcentral.
GUGAGGAAUAUUGGACAAUGGGCGCAAGCCUGAUCCAGCCAUGCCGCGUGAGUGAUGAAGGCCUUCGGGUUGUAAAGCUCUUUAGUCCACGAAUAUAAUGACUGUAGUGGAAGAAUAAGCCCCGGCUAACUUCGUGCCAGCAGCCACGGUAAUACGAAGGGGGCGAGCGUUAUUCGGAAUCACUGGGCGUAAAGCGUGCGUAGGCUGUUUUGUAAGUCAGAAGUGAAAGCCCAGGGCUUAACCCUGGAAUUGCUUUUGAAACUACAAGACUCGAAUUCGGGAGAGGAUAGCGGAAUUGUCAGUGUAGCAGUGAAAUGCGUAGAUAUUGACAGGAACACCAGUGGCGCAAGCGGCUAUCUGGACCGAUAUUGACGCUGAGGCACGAAAGCGUGGGGAGCAAACAGGAUUAGAUACCCGAGUAGUCC